AAUCAACGCUGGCGGCGUGCCUCAGACAUGCAAGUCGAACGCGAAAGCCCCCUUCGGGGGGCAAGUAGAGUGGCGCACGGGUGAGUAACACGUAGGUAAUCUACCUUUGGAUGGGGAAUAACAACCGGAAACGGUUGCUAAUACCGCAUAAUGCAGCGGCACCUAAUGGUGACAGUUGUUAAAGCGGGGGAUCGCAAGACCUCGCGUCUGAAGAGGAGCCUGCGGCAGAUUAGCUAGUUGGUAGGGUAACGGCUUACCAAGGCGAUGAUCUGUAGCCGGCCUGAGAGGGCGGUCGGCCACACUGACACUGACAUACGGGUCAGACUCCUACGGGAGGCAGCAGUCGGGAAUUUUGGGCAAUGGGCGAAAGCCUGACCCAGCAACGCCGCGUGAAGGAUGAAAUCCCUCGGGAUGUAAACUUCGCAAGAACGGGAAGAAUAAGUCGGUGUUAACACCACCGGCGAUGACGGUACUGUUUGUAAGCUCCGGCUAACUCCGCCAGCAGCCGCGGUG
This 513-nucleotide ribosomal RNA is filed under the name uncultured bacterium. Its description in RNAcentral is "bacterial SSU rRNA". It matches the Rfam family "Bacterial small subunit ribosomal RNA", at positions 32 to 522 of the family's 1533-position model. The record is from RNAcentral.